Molecule: transfer RNA, 91 nt
Filed under: Heterocephalus glaber (naked mole-rat)
Lineage: Eukaryota; Metazoa; Chordata; Mammalia; Rodentia; Bathyergidae
Rfam family: tRNA (bases 1-62)
About the family: Transfer RNA (tRNA) molecules are approximately 80 nucleotides in length. Their secondary structure includes four short double-helical elements and three loops (D, anti-codon, and T loops). Further hydrogen bonds mediate the characteristic L-shaped molecular structure. tRNAs have two regions of fundamental functional importance: the anti-codon, which is responsible for specific mRNA codon recognition, and the 3' end, to which the tRNAs corresponding amino acid is attached (by aminoacyl-tRNA synthetases). tRNAs cope with the degeneracy of the genetic code in two manners: having more than one tRNA (with a specific anti-codon) for a particular amino acid; and 'wobble' base-pairing, i.e. permitting non-standard base-pairing at the 3rd anti-codon position.
Source: Rfam by way of RNAcentral
GGGGAUGUAGCUCAGUGGUAGAGCACUUGCCUAGCAGGCAAGUUUUAUGUUCCAUAAACCCAAAAGUUAUAAGUGAUAAUCUUGUUCUCUG